CGGGUGAGUAACGCGUGGAUAAUCUACCCUUAAGAUGGGGAUAACGGCUGGAAACGGUCGCUAAUACCGAAUACGCUCCCGAUUUUAUCGUUGGGGGGAAAGAUGGCCUCUGCUUGCAAGCUAUCGCUUAAGGAUGAGUCCGCGUCCCAUUAGCUAGUUGGCGGGGUAACGGCCCACCAAGGCGACGAUGGGUAGCCGGUCUGAGAGGAUGACCGGCCACACUGGAACUGGAACACGGUCCAG
Molecule: ribosomal RNA, 243 nt
Filed under: uncultured bacterium
Lineage: Bacteria
Description: partial 16S ribosomal RNA
Rfam family: Bacterial small subunit ribosomal RNA
Source: RNAcentral